ACGAACGCUGGCGGCGUGCUUAACACAUGCAAGUCGAACGGAAAGGCCCUGCUUUUGUGGGGUGCUCGAGUGGCGAACGGGUGAGUAACACGUGAGUAACCUGCCCUUGACUUUGGGAUAACUUCAGGAAACUGGGGCUAAUACCGGAUAGGAGCUCCUGCUGCAUGGUGGGGGUUGGAAAGUUUCGGCGGUUGGGGAUGGACUCGCGGCUUAUCAGCUUGUUGGUGGGGUAGUGGCUUACCAAGGCUUUGACGGGUAGCCGGCCUGAGAGGGUGACCGGCCACAUUGGGACUGAGAUACGGCCCAGACUCCUACGGGAGGCAGCAGUGGGGAAUACUGCACAAUGGGCGGAAGCCUGAUGCAGCAACGCCGCGUGCGGGAUGACGGCCUUCGGGUUGUAAACCGCUUUCGCCUGUGACGAAGCGUGAGUGACGGUAAUGGGUAAAGAAGCACCGGCUAACUACGUG
This 467-nucleotide ribosomal RNA is filed under the name uncultured bacterium. RNAcentral describes it as "partial 16S ribosomal RNA". It matches the Rfam family "Bacterial small subunit ribosomal RNA", at positions 29 to 507 of the family's 1533-position model. The record is from RNAcentral.